RNAcentral lists this ribosomal RNA (460 nucleotides) under uncultured bacterium. RNAcentral describes it as "partial 16S ribosomal RNA". It matches the Rfam family "Bacterial small subunit ribosomal RNA", at positions 338 to 795 of the family's 1533-position model. The record is from RNAcentral.
CCUACGGGAGGCAGCAGUGAGGAAUAUUGGUCAAUGGCCGAGAGGCUGAACCAGCCAAGUCGCGUGAGGGAAGAAUGUCCUAUGGAUUGUAAACCUCUUUUGUCAGGGAGCAAAGUCACCCACGUGUGGGUGUUGGAGAGUACCUGAAGAAAAAGCAUCGGCUAACUCCGUGCCAGCAGCCGCGGUAAUACGGAGGGGGCAAGCGUUAUCCGGAUUUACUGGGUGUAAAGGGAGCGUAGACGGUUAUGUAAGUCUGGAGUGAAAGCCCGGGGCCCAACCCCGGGACUGCUUUGGAAACUGUGUAACUGGAGUACAGGAGGGGCAGGCGGAAUUCCUGGUGUAGCGGUGAAAUGCGUAGAUAUCAGGAGGAACACCGGCGGCGAAGGCGGCCUGCUGGACUGAAACUGACGUUGAGGCUCGAAAGCGUGGGGAGCAAACAGGAUUGGAUACCCUUGUAGUC